This 274-nucleotide ribosomal RNA is filed under the name uncultured bacterium. Its description in RNAcentral is "partial 16S ribosomal RNA". It matches the Rfam family "Archaeal small subunit ribosomal RNA", at positions 473 to 747 of the family's 1478-position model. The record is from RNAcentral.
AAACCAGCACCUCAAGUGGUCAGGAGGAUUAUUGGGCCUAAAGCAUCCGUAGCCUGCUUUGUAAGUUUUCGGUUAAAUCCAUAUGCUCAACAUAUGGGCUGCCGGGAAUACUGCAUAGCUAGGGAGUGGGAGAGGUAGACGGUACUCCAUAGGAAGGGGUAAAAUCCUUUGAUCUAUGGAAGACCACCUGUGGCGAAGGCGGUCUACCAGAACACGUCCGACGGUGAGGGAUGAAAGCUGGGGGAGCAAACCGGAUUAGAAACCCCAGUAGUCC